RNAcentral lists this ribosomal RNA (302 nucleotides) under uncultured bacterium. Its description in RNAcentral is "partial 16S ribosomal RNA". It matches the Rfam family "Bacterial small subunit ribosomal RNA", at positions 508 to 807 of the family's 1533-position model. The record is from RNAcentral.
GCAGCCGCCACGGGAAUACGGAGGGUGCAAGCGUUAAUCGGAAUUACUGGGCGUAAAGCGCACGCAGGCGGUCUGACAAGUCAGAUGUGAAAUCCCCGGGCUUAACCUGGGAACUGCAUUUGAAACUGUCAGGCUGGAGUCUUGUAGAGGGGGGUGGAAUUCCAGGUGUAGCGGUGAAAUGCGUAGAGAUCUGGAGGAAUACCGGUGGCGAAGGCGGCCCCCUGGACAAAGACUGACGCUCAGGUGCGAAAGCGUGGGGAGCAAACAGGAUUAGAUACCCCUGUAGUCCCUGUCUCUUAUAC